Molecule: non-coding RNA, 201 nt
Organism: Pelobates cultripes (western spadefoot toad)
Lineage: Eukaryota; Metazoa; Chordata; Amphibia; Anura; Pelobatidae
Source: the annotation of a GenBank genome assembly
CUUUUACUUUCCAUUGACUGGCCUUGGCUCUGGCAGACUGAAUAUUUUUAUCAUUAUAAAUAAACUUUAUGAUAGUUGAAGUAAAGUUUCUGCCUGUCUUUCAGUUAAAUUUUAACUGUUGAAGUAUUUCACUUAUAUUAAUUAAUUAUACCACUCUGCAAACUUAAACGAAUAUCGAGUAGUUUCUGUUUUAAUAAAAAC